AAGAAAAACAUGUCUGAUUACGAGGGAGCCUUACCUUUGUGUGAGGACCGAAAACCCUCCCAUCUCGGCCACCCCAGCAUCAUCACCACCUAGACGAGCCAGGGAGAUUCUGAUACAGUAUUUACCACUAGCCUAAUCUAGCCAGCUGCUGCCUUUCUAGAAACAUGCUUAGGAACCAUUUGUCAACAUUUACUGCAGACUCACUCCGGGGUAAGACCUCUAUUAAAUGAAGGGAAUGGAUUUCACUAGACGAUCACCCGAUGAUCCACUUCUGAGAACUAUUAGCCACACGUUAAGUUACUGCCACUGUGAAGUCUCUUGUGUAAGUGGGACAGAGAAAGCAGAUCGUAGUAAACAUACAGGCCCAGGACCACAAGUGCCAGCUGCUCAGGCCAGCGGUGAGUAGUGUGGUUGGCCGGGGGAGAAAGGUGGGCAAUGAGACGCCCCACCCAGAGGGAGGAGGUUGGCGGGCAGGCUAUCUGCCUUGCUAGAUCCUCCUCUGUUCGAAGAGAAGCCAGGAAAUCUGCUUUAAAAAAACAAACAAACGAAAACAAAAAAGCAGCUCCACAUUUUUAAGUGAUGGCAAAUAAUUCCAUGUUUUUUAACAAUGUGUCCAAGUCCAUCAGCACGUGUCUGGACACCAGAGAUGGCCCCCACGCCCCCUACUGCGGCUGCCAGCACGUGACAAAUACAGACAGAUCCAAAUAACUUGAAACAGGAACACAACCCAAAACCAAUUACUCGUUUCUCUAGAACACACAUAGACAGAUACCAACUUAAAUUAGGAAGGAAAGAAACCAAAGUAAGUUCAAACAGGUUCUCUCCUCAAGGUCAGAGGAGAGGGGAGCAGAGCCUUUCACUGGGCGGGUCCAGAACCUAGAGGGCUUUAAGUGCGGUGUACACGUGCAGAUAAGGAGAAUCAGGAAGAAGGAACCUGUAUCCGGACAGAAACACAAGGAUCCUCAGGGGGUUCACACCUGAAUCUUCUCUACGUUCACCUGCCAGGUAGGAUGCGGGGGGGGGGGGGGGGGGGGGGGGGAGGGCAUGUGGCAAAAACGCAUUCCUGAUGGGAGAACGCACGGGGAGACAGAGGCUGGGAGGCCAGAGCUGGGUUACACUGAGGCGAUCAGAGGAAGAGAAGAGCAUGCAAACGGCAGUGUGUGGCCCACCUUACGGGUGGAAAGGACCUCUACGAUUUGAGGUGACCAGAGAAAGCAGGAGGGGGCUUUCUGUCACGUAGAGCCACCUGGGAUAACACACUUCUCUUCAAGACAGGGCCUCCGAUGCCGUCUGACUGCUGGGGGCCAGGUGAGCACAACAGCUGGGCCUGUAAGCACCUUCCAAGCCAAAGGCUGAGAGAAGAGGACCAUUGCUGACUCGUGCACAAAUCUAAGAGACCUCUACUGUCCGUGAGGGGAGCAGAAGUCAAUGAUGUAACCAGAUUCCAAAUCUGGAUGGCAGCAGGUGGAAAGGGUCAUUUGCUGAUCUCCUGGUGGAAGAAAUUAAUGCUCAGGAGUCAGUUCCAAAGAGGCCUCCUCAGAGCACCUUCUUACAGCCAGAAGCCGCAGGCCUGGGAACGGCUGGGCUGGAAGCAGUGGUGACCGGACCUGAUGUCGGUGGUUCUCCGCCCGCGUUCCCCGGCGCGGAGCUCUCCCAGCUGUUUAUUCCCUGCUGUCCUCCUGACGCGACUCCCAGAGACCAUGAAAAGGCUGAUCACACAGAUGCAGAAAUGGAAGCCUGGCACGUUCAUGAAAGUGACUUACCCGACGGCAAAUCACAGAGCUAGGGCUCAGCUCUCCUGGCCUCACUCCAGUGUUCGUCCCAUGGAAACACCAGAUUCAUGAAGGCCAGGGUCUCACCACCCUAUUCACAGUGCCAGAUAUGAAACCAUGAGCCUCAAGUGUGUCCAUAUUCUCCUAUUAUUAGCACUGAAAGUGCCAACUUAGGUUUGUGACUCGGCCACUGACAUCGACAGAUGUGGGUCAAGCUCUGAUUUUUGACUUUUCCUCAACAGACACACAAAAGGUGUUGAAUGAAAGGGAAAAAAAGUUCUCUUCUGUUUUGUCUGCCUUCAGUGCAACCAAUAAAAAUGAAUACCUUCCUUUGAUGGCCUUGAUGUGAAUUUUAUUUA
This is a long non-coding RNA of Mustela erminea (ermine), 2131 nucleotides long. RefSeq lists it as uncharacterized. The transcript is spliced from 4 exons. NCBI's taxonomy places the organism in Eukaryota, Metazoa, Chordata, Mammalia, Carnivora, Mustelidae. The record is from RefSeq and is a predicted model, not a curated record.